GAAAGCUGUACAAAUUUCCGCCGCACAGAGACUCUUAAGCCCCAAAAAUUUUCAGUUCCCCCCAAAAUUUCACUAACUCUUUUCAGCUCCCCCCAAAAUUUCACUAACUCCCUCGAUUCACCUCACCCUCACACCCCCGAUCCUCUGCUCACUUCACAAAUAUCACACAUCACAGCUCUUAAUCACCGAUCUCACUGGUCCCUUCAUCCCGAUUCUCAGCUCACAUAUGGAUAUUCAUCUUGAUCUUAGAUUAAUCAAGGGUUUAAUCUCAUGGGUUUUCUUCAAAUUGCUUUUAAUUACUAAUAACUUCUUCUAAUUUAUCUUAUUUGUGUCGAUUUGGUUUGCACAUCUCCAUUUUUGUGUGUGUUUAGGGUUUUUACAAUUUCUUAAGAUUAGGGCUUAUAAUUGGGGCUUGAAAUCAAGAUAAAUGGGGUUGUAUUUUGGGGGUUUAGUUGAUUUAUUUUAGAUAUUUCGAUUUAUAUAUAGUAUUUAUUUGCUGAUAUUUUUGGUUUUGUAGAAACUAAAAGAUCUGAGGCUUUUGUUCUUUCCUGUUUCAGUUCUGUGCGAGCUCUAUGAUCUCAAGUUAAUUUGUUUGCAUUAAGGUGUAUCAUGUAAGUUUGUACUUUCAUAUAUACCUUGUGAGAUUCUUCUAUUUAGAAUGUUUAUACAAUAUUAGUUCACUAUUUUUUCACAUAUAUGGCGCUGACCAGUGGAGAAUAGUAUCUUCUAUGCCGAUGGUGCCGACUGUCAUAUUAAUGUUUUCUGGGUGUUUUUGUUACAUUCCAAGAAGAUGAUUAGGCCUUUUAAAGUUUCUUCAUUUUUAAGUAAAAGAAGUAAUUUACUAUAGAUUCUAUAUUUCUAUUAUCCUUUGCUUUUUAUUUGGCCCUGAUUUUACAUGUAAAGCACCUGGUUUUGCUAACUAAUAACAUGGCUUUGAGUAAAAGAAGUGAUUUAUUGUGGAUUCUAUAUUCCUAUUAUCUUUUACUUUUUAUUUGGCCCUGAUUUUACAUGUAAAGCACCUCAUUUCCCUAUGUAACAUGUUACUCCGGCUUGCCAUGACAAGUUUGAUCUGUAUGAGUUGAAUCACAUUUGUUUCUCUUCAUUGUUAGAUAUAUCGUAUGGGGUUAUCUAUUAUUACAAUAAAAUGUUUAAAGAUGAUAUCCCAAUUAAUGAGUAUAAUUUUAUGAGAUGUGUACCUUAGUCAAUAAGCUUCCUACCGAUUGUUAUUUUCAGCAAUGCCAAUAAGUUUACUCAUCAGUUACUUACCUUUCAUGUAGAUAUGCAAUGCAGUUUUUGUUGCAAGAAUUAUGAAUGUUUUGUUGAGGUUUGUUAAUGAAUUUGUUGCUUGAAAUUGGAACUCGUGUACACAGAGAAAGACUCUUCAGGAAACUUGACUCUCUAAUAUAAUUUUUAGUUCAUAAAUCUUGUAUGAUGCUGAGUAUUGCAUUACAGGAGUGGUAAAUUUACAAGUAGUUCGAAAUAUAUUUGUGUAGAUAUAUAGUUUAGUGACCUUAUACUAUGCACAAAAAGUCGGAAUGCUUUAGUUUAUAAGUUGGCCUUCUUUGGCUUCUGCAGGUUUUGUAUUUAAUCUCUGAUCUGUGAUGUGAUGCUCAAUUACAGGGAGAUGACAGAAGUAGAUGAGGCAUAUGAUUUUGUUAAGGUAGGAGUCUUAGUUUGGUCCCUACUGCAGACAUUAUUAAUUUUGCAAGCAAACUGCUAGAAGAUUUCCGAAGCUGGUAAACGUCGGGCUAGCAUCAGUAGUGUAGCUUCUCUUGACAUGUUAGGUGCAGCCUCAUUAAUUGUACAUCAUGUCAAUGACAAGUUAACUGACCAGCAGAAAUGUCCAGGGAACGUAUUUGGCAAGUGUACUCCCAAAACAUGGGAUGAUCAUGGAAUUUGUAAGAAGUCAAGUAGUCCUUACGUAUUGGGCAAUGAAAGAGAUUGUAUAGUAGCUGAUUUUUGGCUGGUAUAUGUGAUUGUAUGUUGUUACUAUAGUUGAUAAUAAAAACUUUUGUUACUAAUU
Molecule: long non-coding RNA, 2023 nt
Organism: Daucus carota subsp. sativus
Lineage: Eukaryota; Viridiplantae; Streptophyta; Magnoliopsida; Apiales; Apiaceae
Exons: 2
Source: RefSeq, a predicted model, not a curated record